CCUCUGCCUUCCCCUGAUUCCCAUCUGCAGAAUAAAAAUUUCACGCAGUUCUAAUUAUCCUGAAAUGCAGCCUCUUGUGUGGUGGGUAGAGGGAUGAAGGAAGUAAAGAUUAGCACAACCAUACCUGCUUUGAAAUAGGAGGGGAUGGAGUGGGAUAUAGUCAAAGGUAAAUGCCUUGAAUUUCUGUUUAGCAAAACCCGUAAUGGUAACGUUUACUUGUUAUACUUUGAUAUCAUGUUUAAUCAGCUCAACCCUUCAAAGCCGUUAGCACUACUGCUGGAGUACUUGCAGACCCGUUGGCCAGCUGCUGAAGAGAUUGGUAUGCUGCCUGUUCAGCUAAUGAGUCUGAAAGCGGAAGUGUUAACACUGUGCUGUUUUUCAUGGUGAGGAAGCAAAUGGCCAUCGUUGGGAGCUUAGAAUAUACCUGCCGUAAUCAAUGUCCCCUCUUUUGUCCCUGGUAAGGCAUUCUGGAUUUAAUUAACUUGUUUUCUUUCAUUUAGGAUUUUAUCUGGUGCCAUCAGUCAGGCUGCCACGUGUACCUUCUCUUGAUGUGGCGUGGCAUUUACUUUCUGUUUUGAUCCUGAUCCCGUCUGGAAGUCUGUUCUGUCUUCCUUUCCGUGUAGCUCAGUAUUUUGGAAUAAUCGAACCUUUCUCCGUCCCGCAUUGCCUUGGUGCUGAGGGGGCGGCCAAAGCAGCAGCCUGGCUAAAGUCGACCUGCAGACCUUGCAGAAUUUUGGUGGAAUAUUUUUACUUCUGCGGUUUGUAGGUUUUUUUUGUCGCCAAGUCAGCAAGUGUUGCUGUGUGGCCGAGCGGCCAACCUGCACGUUUGCGCGUGGCUCUGCUGAAUGCU
This 850-nucleotide long non-coding RNA is filed under the name Struthio camelus australis. RNAcentral describes it as "lncRNA (ENSSCUG00000002695.1)". The record is from RNAcentral. Lineage: Eukaryota; Metazoa; Chordata; Aves; Struthioniformes; Struthionidae.